This 465-nucleotide ribosomal RNA is filed under the name uncultured bacterium. Its description in RNAcentral is "partial 16S ribosomal RNA". It matches the Rfam family "Bacterial small subunit ribosomal RNA", at positions 339 to 795 of the family's 1533-position model. The record is from RNAcentral.
CUACGGGACGCACCAGUGAGGAAUUUUGCGCAAUGGGGGAAACCCUGACGCAGCAACGCCGCGUGAGUGAUGAAGGCCUUCGGGUCGUAAAACUCUGUCAAGUGGGAAGAACCUAUGUAAGGUUAAUACCCUUAUGUACUGACGGUACCACUGAAGGAAGCACCGGCUAACUCCGUGCCAGCAGCCGCGGUAAUACGGAGGGUGCAAGCGUUAUUCGGAAUUAUUGGGCGUAAAGGGCGCGCAGGCGGUUUUGUAAGUCAGAUGUGAAAGCCCGGGGCUUAACCUCGGAAGUGCAUUUGAUACUGCAAGACUUGAGUAUGGGAGGGGGAAGUGGAAUUCCUGGUGUAGAGGUGAAAUUCGUAGAUAUCAGGAGGAACACCAGUGGCGAAGGCGACUUCCUGGACCAAUACUGACGCUGAGGCGCGAAGGCGUGGGGAGCAAACAGGAUUAGAUACCCCCGUAGUC